ACAUCUCGGUAUCUACGUUCAAGGA
RNAcentral lists this non-coding RNA (25 nucleotides) under Rattus norvegicus (Norway rat). Lineage: Eukaryota; Metazoa; Chordata; Mammalia; Rodentia; Muridae. The record is from RNAcentral.